CGUUGCGGAGCACAGGUUCCGGACACGCAAGCUCAGUGGCCAUGGCUCACGGGCCCAGCCGCUCCGCGGCAUGUGGGAUCUUCCCGGACCGGGACACGAACCUGCGUCCCCUGCAUCGGCAGGCAGAACACUCAACCACUGCGCCACCAGGGAAGCCUUUCUCCCUCACUCUUACUCAACUCCUAAAUAACUAAGAGAAUAUGCUCACAAAUGAUUCUGGGGUCACUUUGAAGCUAUGUGGACGUGCUAGAGAUGUGGAAGCUGGAAAAGCGAAGCAACCCAGUCCCCUAGUGAUGCCCUUCAGCAGCUGGACUAACGCUAGAGGGACUAUCUCCAAACUUCCUGCUACCCAUGGAAAGUAAGAUGUUGACUGAGCCUCAGAGGGGUUACAAAAGCACCUAAGAUCCCUUUAUCAGUACAUGACGGAAAUCAGUUCAAAUCCAGCCUGUCUGACUUGUUCUUAAUCACUAAGCUCAAGAGAGACUAUAUUCAUCUGUGUUAAUCACUGCUGUGUUUCCUGAACAUGCCUAUACAUCAUACUGAAGAAUGGUGCCUGAAAUUUGGUAAGGGAUCAAUCAAUUUUCUUGGCUGGAUGAAGAAAUGUGUUCAUAAAUUAAUGAACAGAUCUUCGGGGCUUCUGACUUGAGGACUAAUGGGAAGAGGAUGGCAAACGGUUGGGACAGGGUACUGCAAGAAGUAAUAUUUGGAGUACUCUGAUAGCUAUCCUAAAAGAUAAGAUUGUGUUCAUUUAAGUAGUUCUAAUGAGAGAGCUGGGAACUAGGGACACACAGCAUUAAGGUUUUUAUAAUGCAUUCUGUAGAGUUCUUUUUAAGUCUGUACAAAUAUCACUGAAAAUGUAUGCAUACAUAUACACCUCUGUUACUUUACUUAGCGCUUUACGAGAGUCCCUCAAGGAAGGGGUAGUAGCAACUCUCAAUAUCCUUCCUUUAUGAUGAGCUUAAUUUAUUCAAAGUUACAUCAUAAUUUAUUUGUAACUGUGAAACUAGACUUAGUUAUUGAAUAGACCCUCCCUAGAAACGUAUGACAUUAAUAAAACCAACAAAACUUUGUUCAGUUUCCAAUGAUAGACACACUACAGACUCAAUUAUGGGCCAUCCAGUUUAAUGAAGGGAAGAAGUGAUUGAACAAAUAUAGAGCAAACAGAAUAUGAAGUUUUAUCCUCCAUUAACAUUAGUAACGGAUAGUGUGGGCUCCAAUGCCUUCAAGAUAGCUUGAGACCAUCAUCUCUGUGUCAUGGGCAGGGGGAUGUUCAGCCAGGAUGUCUUUCACUGUCACUGAGAAAAAUUUCCAUAAUAUAUAAUGAUACCUACUGAAACUGAUAUGGGGCAUUUGGGUAAUAAGGAAUCCAUUAGCAUAUUUUUCCGGAAACCUUGACUACAAAACGAAGACAGUAGAUUUGGACACUUUCAGCCAUGAAGAAGUUGUUUGGAUAUUCAUCUUUAUGCCUAAUGAAAUAAGCUUAUUUCAUCUCUGCAGCUUCCCAUAUACCAUUUUCCCACCUCUGUUUUAUGUUUGGAAAGACUUUUAGAAAUUGAAAGUCAAGUUAAAAAGUUAGUGACAACUUAAAUGAUAUAUGGAAUAUUUUGCUGACUUACAAAAGCAUGCAGAAUUAAAUAUGACCCAGUUCAAAUGUUUAUUUUAACGUGUAUGUUGAGGUGGCGUUUUCAAGGUGCCAGAAAAUGAGAAUUCACCUUCCAGUGUGUGUUACCAGUUCUGUUCAUUGCACAGAAUCAUCUUCAUAAAACAUAGUGUUUUCUAUGUACCUGGUAUAUAUCUCAAUUAGUUUGAAGAAUUUCUC
Molecule: long non-coding RNA, 1819 nt
Organism: Globicephala melas (long-finned pilot whale)
Lineage: Eukaryota; Metazoa; Chordata; Mammalia; Artiodactyla; Delphinidae
Source: RefSeq, a predicted model, not a curated record